AACGAACGCUGGCGGCGCGGCUAAGACAUGCAAGUCGAACGGUAGGUUAUAGCAAUAUGGCCUAUAGUGGCGGACGGGUGAGUAAUAAAUAGGUAACGUACCCUGGGCACGGGGAUAGCGUCGUCCCGAGCAAUCGGGGCUUUGCGAAAGUGACGGUAAUACCCGGUAAUGUCUUCGAGUGGCAUCACUCGAAGACCAGAGGUGGGGACCUUCGGGCCUAUCGGCCUGGGAGCGGCCUAUUUCCUACAGCUAGUUGGUGAGGUAACGCUCACCAAGGCUUCGACGGGUAACCGGACUGAGAGGUCGGCCGGUCACAGUCGGGACUGAGACACUGCCCGGACAUCUACGGAUGGCUGCAGUAACGAAUAUUCCGCAAUGGGCNCAAGCCUGACGGAGCGACGCCGCGUGGAGGACG
RNAcentral lists this ribosomal RNA (415 nucleotides) under uncultured bacterium. Its description in RNAcentral is "bacterial SSU rRNA". It matches the Rfam family "Bacterial small subunit ribosomal RNA", at positions 29 to 410 of the family's 1533-position model. The record is from RNAcentral.